Molecule: transfer RNA, 70 nt
Filed under: Magnetococcales bacterium
Lineage: Bacteria; Pseudomonadati; Pseudomonadota; Magnetococcia; Magnetococcales
Description: tRNA-Ser
Rfam family: tRNA (bases 11-67)
About the family: Transfer RNA (tRNA) molecules are approximately 80 nucleotides in length. Their secondary structure includes four short double-helical elements and three loops (D, anti-codon, and T loops).
Source: RNAcentral
GCCUAUAUUGGCCUAUGUCAACGGUUUUGUAAUUCGUAGGUUUGGGGUUCGAUUCCCCACAUCGGCUCCA